Microcebus murinus (gray mouse lemur) is the source of this 412-nucleotide non-coding RNA. The record is from RefSeq and is a predicted model, not a curated record. NCBI's taxonomy places the organism in Eukaryota, Metazoa, Chordata, Mammalia, Primates, Cheirogaleidae.
AUGGAAGGGUUACCCUACAUCUCCUAGGUUGCCUCGCAGUGAGAUGUGGCCAGUGCUCUCCAAGGGAAUGCCCAGAGUGACCUUGGAAGCCAUGUGUUGAGAAGAGCAGAGCCCCCAUUGGCUUGUGUCUCUGAGACUUCCUCCACCACUGGGACCUGUGACAUCCAGCCUCAACCACUCAAGAACAAGAAAUACACUUGGUGAGUCACCAACGAAGUACUGAAGUCAAAAUGUGUUUCUGGGACGAGUGAGCAGGGUGGAUGGAGGAGCCGCUCGAUCUUAAUGACAGCAACAGCAGCCAGCGGUCAGGCACUUUCAUUGUGACAGCACUAUGUAUGUGUCUUUUUUAUUUAAUCCUCGCUAUGACCUCAAGAAGUAGGUGCUCUUACUAGCCUUACUCCACAGAUAAGCA